This 355-nucleotide ribosomal RNA is filed under the name uncultured bacterium. RNAcentral describes it as "partial 16S ribosomal RNA". It matches the Rfam family "Bacterial small subunit ribosomal RNA", at positions 338 to 709 of the family's 1533-position model. The record is from RNAcentral.
CCUACGGGAGGCAGCAGUGGGGGAUAUUGCACAAUGAGGGGAACCCUGAUGCAGCGACGCCGCGUGGGUGAAGGAGUGCUUCGGCUUGUAAAGCGCUAUCGGCAGGGAAGAAGCAAGACGGUACCUGACUAAGAAGCCCCGGCUAACUACGUUCCAGCAGCCGCGGUAAUACGUAGGGGGCGAGCGUUAUCCGGAUUCACUGGGUGUAAAGGGGGCGUAGACGGCCAGCUAAGCCAGGGGUUAAAGCCCGGGGCCCAACCCCGGCACGGCCCUUGGAACUGUGCGGCUAGAGUGGGGGAGGGGCAGGCGGAAUUCCUGGUGUAGCGGGGAAAUGGGUAGAUAACAGGAGGAAAAC